This is a long non-coding RNA of Panicum hallii, 3508 nucleotides long. RefSeq lists it as uncharacterized. Lineage: Eukaryota; Viridiplantae; Streptophyta; Magnoliopsida; Poales; Poaceae. The transcript is spliced from 3 exons. The record is from RefSeq and is a predicted model, not a curated record.
UGUGCGGCUCGGAUGGGAGGGGUUCAGGACCUCCACCACCGCCGGCCGCCGCCGCGACCUCACCACGGCCACGACCAUGGAGGCUCCGGACACUACGAACCACCUCGGAGCUAAGACCAUACCGCCUCCAUGCCCCGCGUCCAGAGAACCUCCGCGUUCCAGCAUCCCCAAACCUCCCGUUACUGAAACGAGAAGAAGGUAGGAGACGAAAUGGAGGCGGCGGCGGGCAGCAAGCGCGCAUACAGCAUCAUUGGUCCCCACCUACAACGAGCGCCUAAACGUCGUCCUCAUCGUCUACUUCCUGUUCAGUUCAUGAACCUCCCGGAUGUCAACUUUGAAUCAUUAUUGUGGAGGAUGGAAGCACGGAUGGAUCUCACUAUCUCAGGACAUUGUAAAACAAUUGUAGCUGGCAUUUGGUGAGCAUUAUGUUUCAAAUACCUUAUGAACAUGCUCCCUUUUUUCAGACAGGAGUCUCUUAUGUAUGCAGGGUUUUUUUUUUGUUAUCAGUGCCAUGACUUACUGAAAAUUACUGUGAGCUAGACCAAGGCAGCUAGCGCUUGGUGAGCUUAGAACUCUUAUUUAAUCUCUGAAUGGAUUUUUUGCUCUCCUUUUGUGUUAACUAUCAACUGCAAAUAUUCAGGUAUGCUUUCAUGGAUUUAUUUUUCACACACAAGAUGUCCUGGAACUAAUAUCUGCACUGUGUUUAGUUUACGAGGUACUGCUGAUUUAUAGUUGUAACAGAGCUAUACUAAGCCUUGAUUUCAUGAACUAUAUUUCUCUGUCAGCUGAACUAAACAUUAUUACAAUUAACAUUUAGCAAACAACUGCAGACAACUCGGAAUUAUUGCAGAAAGAAAUAUUUUGCCAGAGUAGGGUAAGUAGCAAACAUCACAGGAAAGUAAUCAGAAAACUUCUGUACGAGUAUACUACAACACUGCAACUUGUUCUAGUACAAAUUUUUGCUAAAUGGGGGAAUAGAGGCCAGAGGGAUUCAGAUAACUGGAUGAUAUUCACAAGGUGGGCCAAGAUAAGCACAACCUGUCAGCUUCCAAGAAGCUUUGAUCUUAUAUGAUCACUCCAUCAUGUACAUUAUCUCAUCAGCAUCUUUGAUCAUCUGCAAAGAAGAGAGAAAAAAAUUGGAUGGACUAUUGGUAAAUGGUAUCCUUAUCAGACAGUCCUGAAAUGCUACCAACAAGGCAACAAUACACCAAGUUCGGCAGCACCUUUUUUUUUGUUGUUGUUAUAAGAACAUGAUCGUUUUGCUCUCUGGUGUCUGCUUGAUUUCCUAACCUCUAUUCCUCUUUCAAAACAAACCCUGCAGUGCAAUUUAUCAUCAGACCAAAUGGCAAUAGCUUUCCAGUGCAAUUUCAGCUGAGCAGAAUGACGGCCAGGCCACCCGCGGCGCUGAGCCAGGAUUCGUCUGUGAGAAUGAAGGCUUGAUAAACGGAUUUCGGGAUUUGGAACGUGCGCCGGCCAUCCCUUGCUCAGCCGUCCGCCGCCGAGCAUCGCCACACCAACCCAAGCCCCGAACAUCACCUCGCAGCCGGCACCGGGAGGUACGUGCCUGUUGAAACGGAUGACGGCGAGGCUUCAUACGGACGUGUACGGACCGGGAGGGGGUGGCGGAUCCGGAAGGGGAGCGGGCGACGACGAGGCGGCCGUCGCCGGACGGGAAGGGGAACCAUGAACCGCGGGGGAGAGCGCCGAGGAAGACAGGGGCAGUGAUAGGGGCUAUUUUGAAAAAUAUCACAUCCAGGGGGUUUAUGUAAUAUUUGCAUCGGGGGUGUUUUAGAAAGGGCAGCCUGCUGCUGUCAGAUCGGAAGCGGAUGGGAAGUGGGGUUCAGGAGGUCUCGGAGAUACCGGGCGCCCAGAGAACCUGCGCGUUCCGCCAACCCCAAAGCCCCUGUCACUGAAACGAGAAGAAGGUAAGAGACGAAAUGGAGGCGGCGGCGGGCAGCAAGCACGCGUACAGCAUCGUUGUCCCCACCUGCAACGAGCGUCUCGGCGUGGCCCUCAUCAUCUACCUCCUGCUCAAGAAAACUCCCGUAAGCACCAGUCCUCCCCCGCUCUCCCCCGCCUGCUGUUGAUCUGUGCCGAGCCUGGGCUGUUAAGGUUGCCUCGAUGUCGUCUUUGGUAGAGGGCAUCGCCGGAUUCGUAUUCGUUAGGAUCGAUUGGGUUCCGUGUGCUCGAGGUCGGAACAAAUUGCAUGAGGUGUGCGCGUUCAGUUGAAAUGAAUAUCUUUAGCCUCUUGCUUUUCUGAAAAGAAGAUAACCUACUAGCUCUAAGCUUACUGCAUUCAAGCUGGCAAUCACUUUAUGUUGUUUGUUGAUGUCGUGCACAGCUAUGUGAUGAUAAAACACAGGUGAUCCUGUAUUCCUGUCUUGGUACAGAGCUGAUUUCAUCCAAGUGCUAGUGUGGCUGAUCUGCUUAGUUACACAUGUUCCAAAUUCACUGCUUGUGGAUUGGAUGCACUAAUCUCCUGAAGAUCUCACAAGUAUCGUCUGUCUUAGAAUGAUUUAACUUAGAAUGUCACACAUGAAAUAUGCUUUGGUUAGAAUUAGUGAUGCAAGUUAUAUAUAUUUUGGGUCAUUGGGUUGACCCAAAAAGUUAAUAAAAUAAACUAGAAUGACAUUCUGCGUAAAUAAUUUGUGAGGGGAAAUGAACUAGAGUAGCAUGCCAUCGUAAUUAAUUAGCUGACCCAAAAAAUACCCACUUGCAUCCUUAGUUAGAACCAAAACUGGUCUAGAGGGCUUUGGAGAAUGAACUCAGUUGAGCAAAUGGCAAGCUUUGUGCAACUUUGGGACCUGGUGCAGCAGGUUAACCUCACAAGCGAGCAAGAUACAUUAACCUGGAGGUGGACAAGCCAUGGGGAGUACACAGCCAAAUCUGCCUAUGAAAUGCAAUUUGUUGGAGCUAGCAGGGAUGUGCCGGGCAUGGCAAUCUGGAGAGCCCAGGCAGAGGGAAAGCACAAGUUCUUCGCUUGGCUUCUACUUCAAAGUAGGAUUCUAACCAAGGACAGGCUAGCUGCGAGGGGGUGGCAGGGGAACAGUAAUUGUUCUUUCUGCAGUCUUCAUGAAGAAACUGCAGAGCAUUUGAUCUUGAGUUGUCCUUUUGCACAACAAGUAUGGAGCAGGGUGACAGUUUGGCUGAAUGGGGUCAUGUCCUUCCAAGGUUUUGACCUCCAGUUGGAAGAUUGGUGGAGAGCAAAUUUGCAGAAUCUGUCGAAGCAAGAACAAAGGGUCAAGGCGGCAGUUCUGAUGUAUGUGGCUUGGAACAUUUGGAAGGAAUGAAAUCGAAGAAUCUUUGAGUCAAGAACAAUGACAGCGGUGGAUGUCCUUCGAGAAAUUAAAUUUGAAGUUGGGCUUAGGCAGCAGGUCUGUGGGAGCCCCAAGCUUAGUUAGUUACUAUGUAUCUUUCGCUUUGGUUGAGUUUGAGUUCCACUUGUUUUUUAUGUAAUCGCUCUUUGUAAGAACUCGCUUGCUUUCUCCUCUUAAAUGACAUAGCAGUG